AUCGCUUCUCGGCCUUUUGGCUAAGAUCAAGUGUAGUAUCUGUUCUUAUCAGUUUAAUAUCUAAAGAGCUUCCGGUGGCAAGGCAAGGACGGUUAGAGGGGCAGAAAUCCGCU
Molecule: small nuclear RNA, 113 nt
Filed under: Pseudonaja textilis
Lineage: Eukaryota; Metazoa; Chordata; Lepidosauria; Squamata; Elapidae
Description: U2 spliceosomal RNA (ENSPTXG00000009761.1)
Rfam family: U2 spliceosomal RNA (bases 1-95)
About the family: U2 is a small nuclear RNA (snRNA) component of the spliceosome (involved in pre-mRNA splicing).
Source: RNAcentral